CUCCUCCGCUGGCUCCUCGGACCCGCCCGCGCCCUCCGUACCCGUCGUGCCCUCCCGCGCCGUAUGCGCACCCUCCGUGACUGCCGCUUCCUCCGGGCUCUCCUCGCCGCACGACUCCGAGCGCGGGGAGCUACUAGCCGUCAAUAGAAAGAACGCACACUUAGCUAAAGGAGAACAGUAUGAGCGCCGAAGAAUUACCUGCACGGGUUUCACGGAUUGAUCAAAACGGAAUACGAAACGCAGCUCGUCCCAGAAGCGCGCGGCGAACGUGUUUCCGCGCUGCGCGGGCCGCUUGGAGCGCAGCGCGGCGUACGCGAGGUCGGCGCAGGACACCACCACGCCUAACGCGCACCCCACCACCAGCACCAGGAACAACCCCCAGAAGUUUGCCAUGCGCAGCUUUUCGUUCUCGUACUCCUCCACGUCCUGCGGGAGUGGCAGCGUCAUCAACACCUCCGACAAACAGUGCGAAUGCUAUAAGUGUACAGACGCCGUGGCAGAGACCUUGCAAGCGCCGCCUCCGUUCCUCUCGUUCCACCAGGUGUUGAUCAUCUCGCGCAGCGUGCCCGCUUCCUGUAGAUUCAGCAGCGCCAGGUUGAGCCCUUGCCGGUAACGCGAGUCUAUAAACGAAUGUUUAGGAAAUAGGUAUACAUAUGAUUGUUCUCGAAACAUAAAACAAAUAAUCAGAGAUCAUUAAAUAAUAAUAUAUAACUCUAUUAAAAAAAACUCCAUUUAAAAGAACGACGCACCGCCGCCCCUUUGGCUGGGUCCGGGGGUGCGCGCGCACCGUCCGCCGAGACAAUUUAUCGGCGCCCCGCAGUUAAGCGGAACACAUCAUGCAACUGGCAUUUUGUAAUGACUCAUUGUAAAUGUCUAUAUUAUUUUUUUUAGUAAAUGAUUACGAAUGUUA
Manduca sexta (tobacco hornworm) is the source of this 910-nucleotide long non-coding RNA. RefSeq lists it as uncharacterized. Lineage: Eukaryota; Metazoa; Arthropoda; Insecta; Lepidoptera; Sphingidae. The record is from RefSeq and is a predicted model, not a curated record. The transcript is spliced from 2 exons.